RNAcentral lists this ribosomal RNA (519 nucleotides) under Dyella sp. RNAcentral describes it as "bacterial SSU rRNA". It matches the Rfam family "Bacterial small subunit ribosomal RNA", at positions 211 to 722 of the family's 1533-position model. Lineage: Bacteria; Pseudomonadati; Pseudomonadota; Gammaproteobacteria; Lysobacterales; Rhodanobacteraceae. The record is from RNAcentral.
CCUCGCGCGGUUGGACGAACCGAUGUGCGAUUAGCUAGUUGGUAGGGUAAUGGCCUACCAAGGCGACGAUCGCUAGCUGGUCUGAGAGGAUGAUCAGCCACACUGGAACUGAGACACGGUCCAGACUCCUACGGGAGGCAGCAGUGGGGAAUAUUGGACAAUGGGCGCAAGCCUGAUCCAGCAAUGCCGCGUGUGUGAAGAAGGCCUUCGGGUUGUAAAGCACUUUUAUCAGGAGCGAAAUACUACUGGCUAAUAACCGGUGGGGCUGACGGUACCUGAGGAAUAAGCACCGGCUAACUUCGUGCCAGCAGCCGCGGUAAUACGAAGGGUGCAAGCGUUAAUCGGAAUUACUGGGCGUAAAGCGUGCGUAGGCGGUUAUUUAAGUCUGUUGUGAAAUCCCCGGGCUCAACCUGGGAAUGGCAAUGGAUACUGGAUAGCUAGAGUGUGAUAGAGGAUGGUGGAAUUCCCGGUGUAGCGGUGAAAUGCGUAGAGAUCGGGAGGAACAUCAGUGGCGAAGGC